RNAcentral lists this ribosomal RNA (567 nucleotides) under uncultured bacterium. RNAcentral describes it as "partial 16S ribosomal RNA". It matches the Rfam family "Bacterial small subunit ribosomal RNA", at positions 355 to 914 of the family's 1533-position model. The record is from RNAcentral.
UGGGGAAUUUUGGACAAUGGGGGAAACCCUGAUCCAGCCAUCCCGCGUGUGCGAUGAAGGCCUUCGGGUUGUAAAGCACUUUUGGCAGGAAAGAAACGUCGCGGGUUAAUACCCCGCGAAACUGACGGUACCUGCAGAAUAAGCACCGGCUAACUACGUGCCAGCAGCCGCGGUAAUACGUAGGGUGCAAGCGUUAAUCGGAAUUACUGGGCGUAAAGCGUGCGCAGGCGGUUCGGAAAGAAAGAUGUGAAAUCCCAGAGCUUAACUUUGGAACUGCAUUUUUAACUACCGGGCUAGAGUGUGUCAGAGGGAGGUGGAAUUCCGCGUGUAGCAGUGAAAUGCGUAGAUAUGCGGAGGAACACCGAUGGCGAAGGCAGCCUCCUGGGAUAACACUGACGCUCAUGCACGAAAGCGUGGGGAGCAAACAGGAUUAGAUACCCUGGUAGUCCACGCCCUAAACGAUGUCAACUAGCUGUUGGGGCCUUCGGGCCUUGGUAGCGCAGCUAACGCGUGAAGUUGACCGCCUGGGGAGUACGGUCGCAAGAUUAAAAACUUAAAUGAAUUGAC